UACGGAAGGCAGCAGUGGGGAAUAUUGCACAAUGGGCGAAAGCCUGAUGCAGCUAUGCCGCGUGUAUGAAGAAGGCCUUAGGGUUGUAAAGUACUUUCAUCGGGGAGGAAAAAACAAAACUAAUAAUUUUAUUUCUUGACGUUACCCGAAAAAGAAGCACCGGCUAACUCCGUGCCAGCAGCCGCGGUAAUACGGAGGGUGCUAGCGUUAAUCAGAAUUACUGGGCGUAAAGAGCACGUAGGUGGUUUUUUAAGUCAGAUGUGAAAUCCCUGGGCUUACCUAGGAACUGCAUUUUGAAACUGAAAUACUAGAGUAUCGUAGAGGGAGGUAGAAUUCUAGGUGUAGCGGUGAAAUGCGUAGAUAUCUGGAGGAAUACCUGUGGCGAAAGCGGCCUCCUAAACGAAUACUGACACUGAGGUGCGAAAGCGUGGGGAGCAAACAGGGAUUAGAUACC
RNAcentral lists this ribosomal RNA (454 nucleotides) under uncultured bacterium. RNAcentral's name for it is "bacterial SSU rRNA". It matches the Rfam family "Bacterial small subunit ribosomal RNA", at positions 340 to 786 of the family's 1533-position model. The record is from RNAcentral.